Molecule: ribosomal RNA, 489 nt
Filed under: uncultured Sphingobacterium sp.
Lineage: Bacteria; Pseudomonadati; Bacteroidota; Sphingobacteriia; Sphingobacteriales; Sphingobacteriaceae
Description: bacterial SSU rRNA
Rfam family: Bacterial small subunit ribosomal RNA
Source: RNAcentral
UGAACGCUAGCGGCAGGCCUAAUACAUGCAAGUCGGACGGGAUCCGUCGGAGAGCUUGCUCGAAGACGGUGAGAGUGGCGCACGGGUGCGUAACGCGUGAGCAACCUACCUCUAUCAGGGGGAUAGCCUCUCGAAAGAGAGAUUAACACCGCAUAAUAUCAACAGUUCGCAUGUUCAGUUGAUUAAAUAUUUAUAGGAUGGAGAUGGGCUCGCGUGACAUUAGCUAGUUGGUAGGGUAACGGCUUACCAAGGCGACGAUGUCUAGGGGCUCUGAGAGGAGAAUCCCCCACACUGGUACUGAGACACGGACCAGACUCCUACGGGAGGCAGCAGUAAGGAAUAUUGGGUCAAUGGGCGGAAGCCUGAACCAGCCAUGCCGCGUGCAGGAUGACUGCCCUAUGGGUUGUAAACUGCUUUUGUCCAGGAAUAAACCUUUCUACGUGUAGGAAGCUGAAUGUACUGGAAGAAUAAGGAUCGGCUAACUCCGUG